This is an RNA transcript of Panicum hallii, 3903 nucleotides long. It is a transcript of the gene named putative disease resistance protein At1g50180, with no coding region annotated. The transcript has 5 exons. Lineage: Eukaryota; Viridiplantae; Streptophyta; Magnoliopsida; Poales; Poaceae. The record is from RefSeq and is a predicted model, not a curated record.
UUCCAGCAGGGAAAAGCAUGCAAUACGUCCUGAAAAGCAAUACAUCUGUCCUGAAAACCCAACUCCUCAGCCCGCCCUCUUGUCACACGCACAGCAAGCACUUCCAUCCACACCAGACCUGCACAACAAGGAAGCAGAUAGGUAAGAGUGGUUAAGCUUGAGAGCUCGCCGUCAUGGAUCUGAUGACAGGGGGCAUGGGCAACCUCGCCCCCAAGCUGCUACAGCUGCUUCAAGAUGAGUACAAGCUGUAGAAGGGAGUCAAGGAGCAAAUCCGGUCUCUCUCACUGGAGCUGGAGAGCGUCCACACCUUGCUCCGCAAGGUGGCACAAGUUCCGUGGGACCAGAUCGACGAGCAGGUCAAGGUUUGGACACGGGAGGUCAGGGAGGCAUCCUACGACAUGGAGGAUCUCCUCGACACCUUCCUCGCGCGUGUCGAGGGCCGCGAGCCCGCCGACCCGAGCAGGCUCAAACGCGCCAUGAACAAGAUGGGCAACCUCUUCAGCAGCACCAAGGCUCGCCGUGACAUUGCUGGCGCCAUCGAAGGCAUCAAGAAGCAGCUCCAGGAGGUGGCUGAGCGUCAUGCCAGGUACAAAGUUGACAAGGCGCUGGCCAAGCCCGCCGCAACGACGUCGACCAUCAAUCCUCGCCUUGCAGCUAUGUACAAAGAAGUGACACAGCUCAUCGGCAUCAAUGAAUCAAUGGACAAGGUCAUAUCCAUGCUGACGUCGUCAUCCCAAGAGGAUGGCGUGUCCGACAACAAGAUCAUGAAGAUGGUUUCAAUUGCCGGAGUUGGAGGAUUGGGCAAGACCACUCUUGCUAAAGCAUCAUAUGACAAGAUUAAAUCACACUAUUAUUUCAAGGCAUUCGUUUCAGUUGGCCGGAAUCCUGACUUGGCGAAAGUUUUGAAGGACAUUCUCUUUGAUCUUGACAAAAAACAGUAUGAGAACAUCCAUAACACUGGAAGAGGUGCAGAUCUGCUCAUCCGUGAACUCCGAGAAUUCCUUGAGAACAAGAGGUAUUUCCUUGUUAUUCAUGAUAUAUGGGAGCCACGAUCUUGGGAAAUAAUCAAAUUGGCUCUUAUUGAGAAUAACUGUGGAAGUGCAAUAAUUACAACUACUCGUAAAUUUGAUGUUGCCAUAGAAGCCGGUGAGGUUUACAAGCUACAACCGCUUUCAUAUGACAACUCCAAAAAGUUAUUCUACACAAGGAUAUUUGGUUCUCAAGGAAAAUGUCUUGAUAACAAAAUGGAUGAGUUAUCUGACAACUUUCUAAAGAAAUGUGAUGGUGUACCGUUAGCUAUCAUCACAAUGGCUACUUUGUUGGUGGGUAAACCAAUGGAGGAAUGGUCUGUGGUGUACAGCUCUAUUGGUUUUGGCCAUAAAGAUAACCGGCAUGUAGAGAAUACUAGGAGGAUAUUGUCUUAUAGCUACUAUGACCUGCCUCCUCAUCUAAGGACUUGCUUAUUGUACCCAAAUGUGUUCCCUGAAGAUUAAUUAAUUGAAAAAAUCGUCUGAUAAGUAUGUGGGUAGCCGAAGGUUUUAUCCAUGAGAAGCAACGGGCAAGUUCAUUAUUUGAGAUCGGAGAGGAAUACUUUAAUGAUCUCAUUAAUAGAAGCAUGAUUCAAGGAGAGGGGUCCAAAGGUAUCAUGUAUGGCAGCAUAGUCGGUUGCCGUGUUCAUGAUAUGAUACUUGAUCUUAUCCGUUCUUUAUCACGUGAAGAAAACUUUGUCACCAUAGCAAGUAAUGAUGAAGGCACAGUGGACACCAACGAAAGCAAAUUGUCACAAAAAAAGCAUACGCAGGUUAGCCUACCAAGAUAGAACCUCGUGGGAGUAGGCUAAACAUGCGGGCAUGCCUACAGUGAGGUCAUUUGUUGCCUUUAAUUGUCGUUCUGAUAAGUCACUUUCACUUUUGGGCUUUAAACUUAUACAUGUGCUUGCUCUGGAGUUAUGCGGAUGUAUCAAACUUGAGCAUCUUGGUUAUUUACUUCAUUUGAGGUAUCUCAGCUUAAGACGUUCAAGAAUUGAUGAUGAGUUCUUAAAAGGAGUAGGAGCUCUAAAGUUUCUGCAAACAUUAGACUUGACAAAUACUACUCACACGAGACUCCGUUUGUCUACCUUGGACCAUCUCACACAGUUGGUAUGCCUACGUGCCACCGAUUUGAUAGUAGGGGCAGACUGGGUUGGGAAGCUGAUGUCCCUGGAGGAGUUGGAUGUGUUACUCUAUGUCCAUGUCCAUGACAGGGAUGUGAGGCAGUUUGUAAAGGAAUUGGGCAGACUGAGAGAACUUAGGGUAUUCAGGAUGGUUCUUGGUGGGUAUGAUGAUAGAAUGGAUGAGAGCAUGCAGACAGAUUUGGUAGAGUCUCUAUGCAAUCUGCAAAAGAUCCAGCAUCUCAGAUUUAUUUUCAGAAUGGAUGUUGAUACAGCCAAGUGGGAAGCAGCGGGCUUUGUGCUCUCGCCCCAUUUGCGAGUUUUGUCUAUGCCCAACAUCAAGUUCUCUACGCUGCCCUCUUGCAUUAACCCCUCGCGUCUUCCCAACAUCACUACCUUGUACCUGAAUGUGGAUGCUAUGGAUGAGCAGGACCUAGAAUCCCUUGGUAGGUUGCCAGAGCUCCUUGAUCUCAGCCUAACAAUAUACUCCACAGUAACAAUAAGCAAUAUUGCUGGUAACGGCUACUUCCAGAAGUUGAGAUGCCUCGAUAUGUUCAAUUCAAUGCUCAAGUUUCUGCCCAGCAAAGAGGACUCGAGUGUUUCACUUCAUAUCUCGAAUGGAAGAGAUGAUAUUCCCUUUGGUUAUGAGAAGACGGAUGAGCGCAGAGCAGCACCGACCGUGAUGCCCAGCCUGGAAAAAAUCUCAUCUACAAUAUUUGUGUGGGCCUUCAAGGAUGGCAGCUAUGGCUGUGACACUCUUGGCUUGGAACAUCCGCCUUCCCUUCAUACAGCUCAAUUCUUUAUGCAGUACGAUGAGUACGAUGGCAAAUCUGAUGCGGAGGUAGACGAAGCGGAGGCUGCGCUGAGGAACGCGAUUCAAGCCGUCCAUCCCAAGACUCCCACCCUUGAAAUCAUCGGUCGCUCACGCUACAAGAAUAGAAACCAGAUGUUUAAGUGAAGAAGUGAUGGAUGAGGAAAAUCUCUCACCUGUCCAAGAUCAAGAGGUUCCAAAUUCUAGCAGGAUCCACCGAUGAAGAAGGCCAGCCACGGAGACGCAACACCAGAAAUUUCAAUUUGAAUCAUAAUAGCAUCGCUCAGUCAUAUGUGAUUGUGACUCCAAGUUUUUCACAGCUCAUUAUUGUCGGGGUCCAUACUCAGCACACAGAGCUUGAGCAACACAAAGAGCUUCAGUUGAUUUCGCCGUCGAUCUAAAAUUUCGUUCCCUAGGGUGUAAGCUGGUCAAAUGUGGUGAUGGUGGUGACAAAGAGCUAUAGGAAUGCUGAGGAGAUAGGGAAUUGUGGCAGGCGGUGGAGACGUGCAAUCUGGCUAUCUGCAAACUGGGAGUCAUGAUUUAGUAGUGCCUAAAACUUGGAUGGGUGACUGUGUGACGACAGGCAUGGUUUUACAGAGGAUGCAGCCUCACUGCCUCACUUGAUGACGGACAACGCAAGAAGAAACAGAGAGCAAAAUAAAUUGCGUUUUUCUGAUGAAAACCGGGACUUCACAUUUGGUCGUCCAUCAGAAUUCAAGUUGUCUACUUCAUUUCGUGAAUAUUCAGGGUUAGUUCGGAGCUCAUAAUGUGACAGUAAAGGCAGCAUAUAUAGGUCAUCCCUAUGAGCAUAAGAUAGCUUCUCUGUUAGUAAUGUUUUGUUCUCUGCUUAUGUACUUAGAAAAAUUUAUGUACUUAGAAAAAAUCAAAACAACCUAUAAUUUGAAAUGGAGAGAGUAUAACCUAGAGAGUAGGAUUCAUUGUU